This is a long non-coding RNA of Alligator sinensis (Chinese alligator), 898 nucleotides long. RefSeq lists it as uncharacterized. Lineage: Eukaryota; Metazoa; Chordata; Crocodylia; Alligatoridae. The transcript has 3 exons. The record is from RefSeq and is a predicted model, not a curated record.
GACAGAUGGGCCGGAGAACGGGCCCGGCGACGACUGGCGGGGGGCGUCUGGAUGGGACGGGUGGAGGGGAUGCAGUUGGCAAUGAAGCCUCUUAUGUGCCUCCGUGUUGUGGCGGGUGGGCUUGAGGCCUGGGUGCGGCGAUAUGGGGGGCCUCGUGCUCUGCUGAGCCUGGAUCCAGCUCCUGCGAUGCAGCAUCUAGGGGACUUAGGGAUUGUUCCUGCUGCACAUCCAGAUCCAUCGGCCCUGCGUGUCCACGGCAGGGGCGAAAACACCACGGCUGUGCCACGGAUGUCCCAUACCGGCAGCACCGUGUAGUACAGAUCAACAGGAAGAGAGGGAGAGAGAGUCAGGCUGGAAUGAAUUCAAGGACAAGCUGGAAAGGCCACUCGAAAAGUUAUCGCCUGCGGAGAGAGAGAUCUGAUCCCUGAACGCAAUCAUCAUCUGUAAGAAAGAGGGAGAGAAAUAAAAGAAAAAAGGGCUUGAUACUCAGGGAAGCUACAACUUCUUGACGCUUGUUGGAAGUUGCCUUGAUGUUUCUUGGCCAUGUAGAAGGAUCCUGGUAUCAAUGAGCAUCACACCCAGAGAGUCUCAGUGCUGGGAAGUUUGCACCUAGUCCCUCAAGGGACCUGUCCUGUAAAAUUAAUUGUCCCUCUCCUUCCCGCUGCCAGCGCUCAGAUCUAAUCCAAGAAACAAGGAAGAGCCCGUCCCACCAAAACUAAGUACUCACAACCAGAAAGUUCAUCUACAGAUGGGCUGCUCGGCAAGAACUGUAGUUGGAAGUUUGAGAGAGAAGAUUCCAAGAUGAACCCUGAUUUUAUACUCUGUGGCUUGGCUAAAGUAUCAGAAAGCUUCCUAAAUAAGGUAAAAUAUAUAUUACACACACUAUUUCUAUCUAUAC